Molecule: ribosomal RNA, 486 nt
Filed under: uncultured bacterium
Lineage: Bacteria
Description: partial 16S ribosomal RNA
Rfam family: Bacterial small subunit ribosomal RNA
Source: RNAcentral
GACGAACGCUGGCGGCGUGCUUAACACAUGCAAGUCGAACGGGAUCCAAAGGCUUUUUGUUUUUGGUGAGAGUGGCGAACGGGUGAGUAACACGUGAGUAACCUGCCCCCUUCUUUUGGAUAACCGCAUGAAAGUGUGGCUAAUACAGGAUAUUCCAGGCUGGUCGCAUGAUUGGUUUGGGAAAUGGUUUGGUCUGGUGGGGGAUGGGCUCGCGGCCUAUCAGCUUGUUGGUGGGGUGAUGGCCUACCAAGGCGGUGACGGGUAGCCGGCCUGAGAGGGUGGGCGGUCACACUGGGACUGAGAUACGGCCCAGACUCUUACGGGAGGCAGCAGUGGGGGAUUUUGCACAAUGGGCGCAAGCCGGAUGCAGCGACGCCGCGUGAGGGAUGAAGGCCUUCGGGUUGUAAACCUCUUUCGCUGGGUUGAAAGGCCAUGCUUUGGGUGUGGUUGAUUUGAACUGGUAAAGAAGUACCGGCUAACUACGUG